CCAGCUCGCCAGCCUCGCCGCCUUCUACCGCGCCAUGGGCAACGUCUGCUCCGAGGUGCUCGACGCCAAGCUCCAGCCGCCAGUGGCGUAGCUGUAGGGUGGCCAGGGUGGUCCAUGGACCACCCUGGAAUUUGGCCCAUUAGUUUAGUACUUCUCUGAAAAAAACAUAUCCAUGCCCAACUCAGGUCUCAGCCCAUAUACAUGGCUCGUUUCUUUCAUCUCAGAUACGCCUGUUAUCUGUAUGUACGCUGAUCGUUCCUAAUUCCCGACUCCCCGUCGUCUCCUCUUCCUCUAGUCUUCGGAGUCUGAAACCCUAGCGGCUAGCACCAUCGCCUAGCGCAACUGCGCAAGGCCGGCACUCCGGCAGGGCACCCGCAGGCGAUGACCGGACGACGGCCAGGCGGCCGGCGAAGGACGCGCGUCCCGGCGGUCAACGAAGGAACCGCGCCAGUACUGAACCGCGCACACACGCAUAGGUACAGCCCCGUGCAAUGCGCUAGUUGAUUUCUUUUCUAUUUCAAUCCAGAGUAUUAGAGUAAGAUGUUUAUUCUUCUCUAAUUCAAAGCACAAUUUCCUUUUCCUCUGAAGAUUUGCGAUUUGUCAAUUAUCAAUUCAAAGCACAAUUUUCUUUUUGCAACAAACAUGGCAUUGAAGUUCCUGUAAUGGAGAAUAAUUAUGUCCCUUAUGGAAGAUCAACACGGUUUGUGCAAUCUCAAACAAAUGCAGAUCACUUUAGAAGGGAAAUUUAUAUUGGGAUUAUUGAUAAAACCAGUCAAGAGCUUGACAAUCGGUUUGAUGAGGUCAAUAUGGAGUUGCUUUCUUGUAUGUCGGCCUUGAAUCCUGCCAACUCAUUUUCUGCUUUUGAUGCACAAAAGGUACGUAGACUUGCUGAGUUCUACCCCAAUGAUUUUUCGAGCUCUGACUUGAUGCACCUUGAAAUGCAACUUGAUAACUAUAUUGAUGACAUGAGAAAAGAUGACAACUUCAAAGGCCUAGAAAAUCUUGCUGAUCUCUCAGUUAAGCUUGUUCAAACAAGGAGGCAUAUAGUUCAUAAUUUGGUUUACUUGCUUCUAAAAUUGGUAUUGCUUCUACCGGUGGCAACAACAAGUGUUGAAAGAGCAUAUUCUGCAAUGAGUGUGGUCAAAAACAAGUUAAGAAACAAGAUGGGUGAUAGUCUUUUGGAUGAUUGCCUAGUCACAUACAUCGAACGAGAUGCUUUCUCCAAAGUGAAUGAAGAUAAUAUAAUUGAGACUUUCAUGGUCUUGAGAAGGCGGUAUACCGACAAAUAAGGUGUGUUAUAUUUUACGCAAAUGUAAGACUUGAACAUGAAUUUUAAUAUGCUUUGAAAGACCUUAUUGAUAUGUGCUUUGGAUAUAUUAUGCGUGCAUAUGUUGGUUUGUUAAAUUUGUGGUAUAUAUUUUAUUUUGUGCCAAUUGGACCACCCUGACAUAAAAUCCUGGCUACGCCACUGCCAGCCGCCGUCUCUAACCGUGCACGAGUGAUCUACCUGUGCUCUGUCUCUCUCUCUCUCUCUGAACCUGGCCGGAAAUGCUUGCUAGUUCAUCACAAAUCCAAAUGCUGCAUGGCAUUGGCAUCUUGAAUUAAUUAACCCGUGUCCCAUGAUGUUGAUGUUACACUUACUCGAGAAGUGUUUGUUGACUUUGUUUGUGUGUCCAUACGUACUACAACACAAUGCAUGCUCAGGCGCCCGGCUCGCUGACUUUCGUGAGCUCUAUCGUGACCUCGUAAUCACAUGAAAGAUGAAGCGAGAAACUACUAAGUAGUACUUGAGUCUUGAAGUGUCUUUCUGAUCUUCCCCUGGUACCUAUCUUGUGUACCGUAGUUUCUUCCUCAAAUUAACCAGUACAAAUGGAAGAUGAUAACAAGCACAUGUGUUCAAC
RNAcentral lists this long non-coding RNA (1901 nucleotides) under Triticum aestivum (bread wheat). RNAcentral's name for it is "long non-coding RNA (TAES_LNC028416)". Lineage: Eukaryota; Viridiplantae; Streptophyta; Magnoliopsida; Poales; Poaceae. The record is from RNAcentral.